This 140-nucleotide ribosomal RNA is filed under the name uncultured bacterium. RNAcentral describes it as "partial 16S ribosomal RNA". It matches the Rfam family "Bacterial small subunit ribosomal RNA", at positions 355 to 511 of the family's 1533-position model. The record is from RNAcentral.
UGGGGAAUAUUGGACAAUGGGCGGAAGCCUGAUCCAGCAAUGCCGCGUGUGUGAAGAAGGUCUUCGGAUUGUAAAGCACUUUCGACGGGGACGGAUGAUGACGGUACCCGUAGAAGAAGCCCCGGCUAACUUCGUGCCAG